RNAcentral lists this ribosomal RNA (622 nucleotides) under uncultured archaeon. Its description in RNAcentral is "bacterial SSU rRNA". It matches the Rfam family "Archaeal small subunit ribosomal RNA", at positions 147 to 774 of the family's 1478-position model. The record is from RNAcentral.
UAAUACCCUAUAGGUUACAGAUGCUGGAAUGCUCUGUAACUCAAAGCUCCGGCGCCUUAGGAUGGAUCUGCGGCCGAUUAGGUUGUUGUUGGGGUAACGGCCCAACAAGCCAGUAAUCGGUACGGGUUGUGGGAGCAAGAGCCCGGAGUUGGAUUCUGAGACACGAAUCCAGGCCCUACGGGGCGCAGCAGGCGCGAAAACUUUACAAUGCGGGCAACCGUGAUAAGGGAACCUCGAGUGCCUGUAUAUGCAGGCUGUCCAGGUGUCUAAAGCACACCUGAAGAAAGGGCCGGGCAAGACCGGUGCCAGCCGCCGCGGUAAUACCGGCGGCUCGAGUGGUGGCCACUUUUAUUGGGCUUACAGCGUUCGUAGCUGGGUUGUUAAGUCUCUUGGGAAAUCCGACGGCUCAACCGUCGGGCGUCUAAGGGAUACUGGCAAUCUUGGAACCGGGAGAGGUGAGGGGUACUUCGGGGGUAGGAGUGAAAUCCUGUAAUCCUCGAGGGACCACCUGUGGCGAAGGCGCCUCACCAGAACGGCUUCGACAGUGAGGGACGAAAGCUGGGGGAGCAAACCGGAUUAGAUACCCGGGUAGUCCCAGACGUAAACGAUGUGCGUUAGGUGU